This 1070-nucleotide ribosomal RNA is filed under the name Axinella vaceleti. RNAcentral describes it as "eukaryotic LSU rRNA". It matches the Rfam family "Eukaryotic large subunit ribosomal RNA", at positions 23 to 886 of the family's 3401-position model. Lineage: Eukaryota; Metazoa; Porifera; Demospongiae; Axinellida; Axinellidae. The record is from RNAcentral.
ACCCGCUGAAUUUAAGCAUAUCAAUAAGCGGAGGAAGAGAAACUAACCAGAAUUCCCGCAGUAACGGCGAGCGAAGUGGGAAGAGCUCAGCCUGUAAUCCCUGGCAAAAAUGCCAGCGAAUUGUGGCCGGUAGAGGUGGCUUGGUCCUGUCCCGUGGCAUCAAAGUUGACCUGGAAGGGCACGUCGGAGAGGGUGAGAACCCCGUUGCUGAUCCCGCGUGUGGGCAGACGCCGCCUUCCGAGAGUCGGGUUGUUUGGGAAUGCAGCCCAAAGUGGGUGGUAAACUCAAUCUAAAGCUAUAUACUGACACGAGACCGAUAGCAAACAAGUACCAUGAGGGAAAGGUGAAAAGUACUUUGAAACGAGAGUCAAAGAGACCGUGAAACCGUUUGAAGGGAAGAGAAUGCAGCCUGAUGAUUCCGUUCGGGUUCAGGGAUGGUCAGUUGAGCAGACAGUUUGGGUUACUCGCAAGAGUGUCCUGUCUUGCUUUGUCAGCUACCCUUCUGCAUUCCCGUCUUGGAGUAGGCCAACGAGGGCGGCUGGUGGUCAGUUACAGGCCAGAGGGUAGGCAGUGGUUCCUGGGUCUUUGGGGAACUUACAGCCUCUGGUCAUUUUAGUUGCUAGCUGCCGAGGAGGUGUGUGCGACCUUCGCACAAUUCAGCGCAGGCUCCGCAGGGGCCGGGUCGCUUCUGGCCGUGUGGGAGGCGCACAAGGGACUGCAUGCAGUGCCUGCUGACGCCCUCAUCACUCGGACGGGAGGCGGCCACGACGUGCGCUGGAUUGUUGGUUGAGGGAUGGCUUCAUCCGACCGUCUUGAACACAGACCAAGGAGUGCAAGAGGCGUGCGAGUCUUUGGGUGUAGUCCCCAAACCCGAGGACGUAAUGAAGGUGAAGGGAGACUCGUCUCCCGAGGCGAGAGCCAGUCAUUUGAGUGGCCCAUCGUCAACCGAUCCCAGUUCACGCUGUGGCGGGAUUCGAGUUAGAGCGUGUCUGUUGCGACCCGAAAGAUGGUGAACUAUGCCUGAAUAGGGCGAAGCCAGAGGAAACUCUGGUGGAAGCUCGUAGCGGUUC